This 116-nucleotide transfer RNA is filed under the name bacterium. RNAcentral's name for it is "tRNA-Ser". It matches the Rfam family "tRNA". From Rfam's summary of the family: Transfer RNA (tRNA) molecules are approximately 80 nucleotides in length. Their secondary structure includes four short double-helical elements and three loops (D, anti-codon, and T loops). The record is from RNAcentral.
GGAAGUAUGGGUGAGCGGUCGUUAUCGGCCUGCCGCUUUCGGAGAAAGAAACCAGCCCUCUGCUAAGGGGCCGAGCCUCUCAAAUGGCUCCGAAGGUUCAAAUCCUUCUGCUUCCG